GGAAACCCAGAGCCUUCCACACCAGAGCUACCUCCUACAGCUAUUGCUACAGGGACAGAGACACCAGCCCAGCAUGUGCUGUGGGGUGGGCAGCUCCUGGGGAGGAAGCUCUGUGCUUUCGUAGGCAUGGUACUUUCAACAUCUUUCCUCUCCUGCAAAAGUAUCUGAACAGGGUUGCUGCCUCCCUGCUCCCCUCUCAGAGCCACACAGAGUUUUAAGCUACUUGUGCUACCAACAGAAACCAAAGCUGAGGGCGUGGCACGCACAGAGGAAAGGGAAAAGGCUCACUUUCAAUGAUAGCUCUCUGUAGUGUCUGGAUCUGGUUCUGGAAAAUGGACUGCAAGAGUUGAGGGAGAACACCUUAAAAAAAGAGAGAUCUGCUGAUAGUCAUCGCCACUUCCUGACUUAACGGCAAGCCCUGCAAUGGAGACCCAUUCCACUUCUUCACUAGGCAACAAACAUCCCACAUCACCAACCCUUUUGUACGAUGCAUCCCCCUUUUCACAAGUCAAC
This is a long non-coding RNA of Dermochelys coriacea (leatherback sea turtle), 513 nucleotides long. RefSeq lists it as uncharacterized. The transcript has 3 exons. The record is from RefSeq and is a predicted model, not a curated record. NCBI's taxonomy places the organism in Eukaryota, Metazoa, Chordata, Testudines, Dermochelyidae.